Molecule: ribosomal RNA, 2928 nt
Filed under: Escherichia coli
Lineage: Bacteria; Pseudomonadati; Pseudomonadota; Gammaproteobacteria; Enterobacterales; Enterobacteriaceae
Description: 23S ribosomal RNA
Rfam family: Bacterial large subunit ribosomal RNA
Source: RNAcentral
GGGUUGUGAGGUUAAGCGACUAAGCGUACACGGUGGAUGCCCUGGCAGUCAGAGGCGAUGAAGGACGUGCUAAUCUGCGAUAAGCGUCGGUAAGGUGAUAUGAACCGUUAUAACCGGCGAUUUCCGAAUGGGGAAACCCAGUGUGUUUCGACACACUAUCAUUAACUGAAUCCAUAGGUUAAUGAGGCGAACCGGGGGAACUGAAACAUCUAAGUACCCCGAGGAAAAGAAAUCAACCGAGAUUCCCCCAGUAGCGGCGAGCGAACGGGGAGCAGCCCAGAGCCUGAAUCAGUGUGUGUGUUAGUGGAAGCGUCUGGAAAGGCGCGCGAUACAGGGUGACAGCCCCGUACACAAAAAUGCACAUGCUGUGAGCUCGAUGAGUAGGGCGGGACACGUGGUAUCCUGUCUGAAUAUGGGGGGACCAUCCUCCAAGGCUAAAUACUCCUGACUGACCGAUAGUGAACCAGUACCGUGAGGGAAAGGCGAAAAGAACCCCGGCGAGGGGAGUGAAAAAGAACCUGAAACCGUGUACGUACAAGCAGUGGGAGCCUCUUUAUGGGGUGACUGCGUACCUUUUGUAUAAUGGGUCAGCGACUUAUAUUCUGUAGCAAGGUUAACCGAAUAGGGGAGCCGAAGGGAAACCGAGUCUUAACUGGGCGUUAAGUUGCAGGGUAUAGACCCGAAACCCGGUGAUCUAGCCAUGGGCAGGUUGAAGGUUGGGUAACACUAACUGGAGGACCGAACCGACUAAUGUUGAAAAAUUAGCGGAUGACUUGUGGCUGGGGGUGAAAGGCCAAUCAAACCGGGAGAUAGCUGGUUCUCCCCGAAAGCUAUUUAGGUAGCGCCUCGUGAAUUCAUCUCCGGGGGUAGAGCACUGUUUCGGCAAGGGGGUCAUCCCGACUUACCAACCCGAUGCAAACUGCGAAUACCGGAGAAUGUUAUCACGGGAGACACACGGCGGGUGCUAACGUCCGUCGUGAAGAGGGAAACAACCCAGACCGCCAGCUAAGGUCCCAAAGUCAUGGUUAAGUGGGAAACGAUGUGGGAAGGCCCAGACAGCCAGGAUGUUGGCUUAGAAGCAGCCAUCAUUUAAAGAAAGCGUAAUAGCUCACUGGUCGAGUCGGCCUGCGCGGAAGAUGUAACGGGGCUAAACCAUGCACCGAAGCUGCGGCAGCGACACUAUGUGUUGUUGGGUAGGGGAGCGUUCUGUAAGCCUGUGAAGGUGUGCUGUGAGGCAUGCUGGAGGUAUCAGAAGUGCGAAUGCUGACAUAAGUAACGAUAAAGCGGGUGAAAAGCCCGCUCGCCGGAAGACCAAGGGUUCCUGUCCAACGUUAAUCGGGGCAGGGUGAGUCGACCCCUAAGGCGAGGCCGAAAGGCGUAGUCGAUGGGAAACAGGUUAAUAUUCCUGUACUUGGUGUUACUGCGAAGGGGGGACGGAGAAGGCUAUGUUGGCCGGGCGACGGUUGUCCCGGUUUAAGCGUGUAGGCUGGUUUUCCAGGCAAAUCCGGAAAAUCAAGGCUGAGGCGUGAUGACGAGGCACUACGGUGCUGAAGCAACAAAUGCCCUGCUUCCAGGAAAAGCCUCUAAGCAUCAGGUAACAUCAAAUCGUACCCCAAACCGACACAGGUGGUCAGGUAGAGAAUACCAAGGCGCUUGAGAGAACUCGGGUGAAGGAACUAGGCAAAAUGGUGCCGUAACUUCGGGAGAAGGCACGCUGAUAUGUAGGUGAAGUCCCUCGCGGAUGGAGCUGAAAUCAGUCGAAGAUACCAGCUGGCUGCAACUGUUUAUUAAAAACACAGCACUGUGCAAACACGAAAGUGGACGUAUACGGUGUGACGCCUGCCCGGUGCCGGAAGGUUAAUUGAUGGGGUCAGCGCAAGCGAAGCUCUUGAUCGAAGCCCCGGUAAACGGCGGCCGUAACUAUAACGGUCCUAAGGUAGCGAAAUUCCUUGUCGGGUAAGUUCCGACCUGCACGAAUGGCGUAAUGAUGGCCAGGCUGUCUCCACCCGAGACUCAGUGAAAUUGAACUCGCUGUGAAGAUGCAGUGUACCCGCGGCAAGACGGAAAGACCCCGUGAACCUUUACUAUAGCUUGACACUGAACAUUGAGCCUUGAUGUGUAGGAUAGGUGGGAGGCUUUGAAGUGUGGACGCCAGUCUGCAUGGAGCCGACCUUGAAAUACCACCCUUUAAUGUUUGAUGUUCUAACGUGGACCCGUGAUCCGGGUUGCGGACAGUGUCUGGUGGGUAGUUUGACUGGGGCGGUCUCCUCCUAAAGAGUAACGGAGGAGCACGAAGGUUGGCUAAUCCUGGUCGGACAUCAGGAGGUUAGUGCAAUGGCAUAAGCCAGCUUGACUGCGAGCGUGACGGCGCGAGCAGGUGCGAAAGCAGGUCAUAGUGAUCCGGUGGUUCUGAAUGGAAGGGCCAUCGCUCAACGGAUAAAAGGUACUCCGGGGAUAACAGGCUGAUACCGCCCAAGAGUUCAUAUCGACGGCGGUGUUUGGCACCUCGAUGUCGGCUCAUCACAUCCUGGGGCUGAAGUAGGUCCCAAGGGUAUGGCUGUUCGCCAUUUAAAGUGGUACGCGAGCUGGGUUUAGAACGUCGUGAGACAGUUCGGUCCCUAUCUGCCGUGGGCGCUGGAGAACUGAGGGGGGCUGCUCCUAGUACGAGAGGACCGGAGUGGACGCAUCACUGGUGUUCGGGUUGUCAUGCCAAUGGCACUGCCCGGUAGCUAAAUGCGGAAGAGAUAAGUGCUGAAAGCAUCUAAGCACGAAACUUGCCCCGAGAUGAGUUCUCCCUGACCCUUUAAGGGUCCUGAAGGAACGUUGAAGACGACGACGUUGAUAGGCCGGGUGUGUAAGCGCAGCGAUGCGUUGAGCUAACCGGUACUAAUGAACCGUGAGGCUUAACCUUACAACGCCGAAGCUGUU